RNAcentral lists this ribosomal RNA (253 nucleotides) under uncultured bacterium. RNAcentral describes it as "partial 16S ribosomal RNA". It matches the Rfam family "Bacterial small subunit ribosomal RNA", at positions 524 to 776 of the family's 1533-position model. The record is from RNAcentral.
UACAGAGGUGGCAAGCGUUGUUCGGAAUUACUGGGCGUAAAGGGCUCGUAGGCGGCCAACUAGGUCACCCGUGAAAUCCCCAGGCUUAACCUGGGAACUGCGUGUGAUACUGGAUGGCUUGAAUUCGGGAGAGGGAUGCAGAAUUCCAGGUGUAGCGGUGAAAUGCGUAGAUAUCUGGAGGAAUACCGGUGGCGAAGGCGGCAUCCUGGACCGACAUUGACGCUGAGGAGCGAAAGCUAGGGGAGCAAACGGG